Molecule: transfer RNA, 74 nt
Filed under: Brucella sp. 83/13
Lineage: Bacteria; Pseudomonadati; Pseudomonadota; Alphaproteobacteria; Hyphomicrobiales; Brucellaceae
Also listed under: 3 other names
Description: tRNA-Gly
Rfam family: tRNA
About the family: Transfer RNA (tRNA) molecules are approximately 80 nucleotides in length. Their secondary structure includes four short double-helical elements and three loops (D, anti-codon, and T loops).
Source: RNAcentral
GCGGGUAUGAUGUAAUGGUAUCCUGUCAGCUUCCCAAGCUGAACGCGCGAGUUCGAUUCCCGCUACCCGCUCCA